AUUCGCCCUUGGGGAAUUUUCCGCAAUGGGCGAAAGCCUGACGGAGCAAUACCGCGUGAGGGAGGAAGGCUCUUGGGUUGUAAACCUCUUUUCUCAGGGAAGAACAGAUGACGGUACCUGAGGAAUAAGCAUCGGCUAACUCCGUGCCAGCAGCCGCGGUAAUACGGAGGAUGCAAGCGUUAUCCGGAAUGAUUGAGCGUAAAGGGUCCGCAGGUGGCAUUGUAAGUCUGCUGUUAAAGAGUUUGGCUCAACCAAAUAAGAGCAGUGGAAACUACAAAGCUAGAGUGUGGUCGGGGCAGAGGGAAUUCCUGGUGUAGCGGUGAAAUGCGUAGAUAUCAGGAAGAACACCAGUGGCGAAGGCGCUCUGCUAGGCCGAGACUGACACUGAGGGACGAAAGCUAGGGGAGCGAAUGGGAUUAGAUACCCCAGUAGUCCUAGCCGUAAACGAUGGAUACUAGGCGUAGCUCGUAUCGACCCGAGCUGUGCCGGAGCUAACGCGUUAAGUAUCCCGCCUGGGGAGUACGCAGGCAACUGUGAAACUCAAAGGAAUUGACGGGGGCCCGCACAAGCGGUGGAGUAUGUGGUUUAAUUCGAUGCAACGCGAAGAACCUUACCAAGGCUUGACAUGUCACGAAUCCUAUUGAAAGAUGGGAGUGCCUUCGGGAGCGUGAA
RNAcentral lists this ribosomal RNA (672 nucleotides) under uncultured cyanobacterium. RNAcentral's name for it is "bacterial SSU rRNA". It matches the Rfam family "Bacterial small subunit ribosomal RNA", at positions 346 to 1032 of the family's 1533-position model. Lineage: Bacteria; Bacillati; Cyanobacteriota. The record is from RNAcentral.